UACGUAGGGUGCGAGCGUUGUCCGGAAUUACUGGGCGUAAAGAGCUCGUAGGUGGUUUGUCGCGUUGUCCGUGAAAACUCACAGCUCAACUGUGGGCGUGCGGGCGAUACGGGCAGACUGGAGUACUGCAGGGGAGACUGGAAUUCCUGGUGUAGCGGUGGAAUGCGCAGAUAUCAGGAGGAACACCGGUGGCGAAGGCAGGUCACUGGGCCGCAACUGACGCUGAGGAGCGAAAGCAUGGGGAGCGAACAGG
Molecule: ribosomal RNA, 253 nt
Filed under: uncultured bacterium
Lineage: Bacteria
Description: partial 16S ribosomal RNA
Rfam family: Bacterial small subunit ribosomal RNA
Source: RNAcentral